AUCGGGGAUUGGUGUUACAUAUUAGGAACUGACCCUGAACAUGAUGUUCAAAGUCAUUAAACGCUCUUGGAAGAAGAAGCAAUGACUUUAUCUUCGGGGCUGAACAUCCUCAGUUGGAAUCCCUUGAAACUCUGGGCCAGUGAUGUUGGCUUAAUGCCAGAAAGACCAGGCACUAACAUAUUUUGAAUAUGAUGUCACAGACAAAGUACAGGAAAUGAUUAUCACCGGGCAGAUAAAAGGAAAAUAUCUUAAAAGAGAAUAUAAACUUCUUAACCUACUCUAGAGGCAUCACGGUGAAAAUUUCUGUGCACCAGAGAAAGAAAACUCGGUAAUGUGUGUAAGGAGUGCUUUGCAUAUGUGUGAGGUUAGAGAAAAAGCCACACCUGGAUUGCAAAUGUAUUGGCUCCAUCUAUGAGUGUUCUUCUACCAAUCCUGAAACAAGAAAAUUAUUAUUUUUGUGUU
This is a long non-coding RNA of Panthera uncia (snow leopard), 462 nucleotides long. RefSeq lists it as uncharacterized. NCBI's taxonomy places the organism in Eukaryota, Metazoa, Chordata, Mammalia, Carnivora, Felidae. The record is from RefSeq and is a predicted model, not a curated record. The transcript is spliced from 2 exons.